GACGAACGCUGGCGGCGUGCUUAACACAUGCAAGUCGAACGGUGAAGCGCCUUCCUUUUUGGCGGGUGUGGAUGAGUGGCGAACGGGUGAGUAACACGUGAGUAACCUGCACCCUUCUACUGGAUAACCGCAUGAAAGUGUGGCUAAUACGGGAUAUUCUGGGUCUGUCGCAUGAUGGGUCUGGGACAGAUAUUGCUUCGGUGGGGGGUGGGCUCGCGGCCUAUCAGCUUGUUGGUGGGGUGAUGGCCUAACACGGCGGUGACGGGUGGCCGGCGUGGGGGGGUGGACAGUCACAGUGUGAGUGAGACACGGCCCAGACUCGUACGGGAGGCAGCGGGAGGGAAUAGUGCACGAUGGGCGCAAGCCUGAGGCAGCGACGCCGCGUGAAGGAUGGAGGCCGUCGGGUUGGGAAUCUCGUUCGCCAGGGAAGCGGGCCUGCCUCGUUUGUGGGUGGUGUGACGGUAGCUGGACAAGAAGCGCCGGCUAACUACGUG
This 494-nucleotide ribosomal RNA is filed under the name uncultured bacterium. Its description in RNAcentral is "partial 16S ribosomal RNA". It matches the Rfam family "Bacterial small subunit ribosomal RNA", at positions 28 to 507 of the family's 1533-position model. The record is from RNAcentral.